RNAcentral lists this ribosomal RNA (427 nucleotides) under uncultured bacterium. Its description in RNAcentral is "partial 16S ribosomal RNA". It matches the Rfam family "Bacterial small subunit ribosomal RNA", at positions 355 to 774 of the family's 1533-position model. The record is from RNAcentral.
UGGGGAAUAUUGGACAAUGGGCGAAAGCCUGAUCCAGCCAUGCCGCGUGUGUGAAGAAGGUCUUCGGAUUGUAAAGCACUUUAAGUUGGGAGGAAGGGCAUUAACCUAAUACGUUAGUGUUUUGACGUUACCGACAGAAUAAGCACCGGCUAACUCUGUGCCAGCAGCCGCGGUAAUACAGAGGGUGCAAGCGUUAAUCGGAAUUACUGGGCGUAAAGCGCGCGUAGGUGGUUUGUUAAGUUGGAUGUGAAAGCCCCGGGCUCAACCUGGGAACUGCAUCCAAAACUGGCAAGCUAGAGUACGGUAGAGGGUGGUGGAAUUUCCUGUGUAGCGGUGAAUUGCGUAGAUAUAGGAAGGAACACCAGUGGCGAAGGCGACCACCUGGACUGAUACUGACACUGAGGUGCGAAAGCGUGGGGAGCAAACA